GCGCCUGUAGUUUAACGGAUAGAACACAGCCCUGCGGAGGCUGGGAUCGAGGUUCAAUUCCUCGCAGGCGCA
Molecule: transfer RNA, 72 nt
Filed under: Pseudomonadota bacterium
Lineage: Bacteria; Pseudomonadati; Pseudomonadota
Also listed under: 4 other names
Description: tRNA-Arg
Rfam family: tRNA
About the family: Transfer RNA (tRNA) molecules are approximately 80 nucleotides in length. Their secondary structure includes four short double-helical elements and three loops (D, anti-codon, and T loops).
Source: RNAcentral